GAACGAUUAGUCUAAUGAAAGACCGUUAAUUUCGACUUAACAAAUCCUGGUUCUACUCCAUGAUCGUUCU
RNAcentral lists this transfer RNA (70 nucleotides) under Pythonichthys microphthalmus. Its description in RNAcentral is "tRNA-Arg". It matches the Rfam family "tRNA". Rfam says of the family: Transfer RNA (tRNA) molecules are approximately 80 nucleotides in length. Their secondary structure includes four short double-helical elements and three loops (D, anti-codon, and T loops). Lineage: Eukaryota; Metazoa; Chordata; Actinopteri; Anguilliformes; Heterenchelyidae. The record is from RNAcentral.